UACGUAGGGAGCAAGCGUUAUCCGGAAUUACUGGGCGUAAAGCGUCCGUAGGUGGUAUUCUAAGUCAGAUGUUAAAUCUCUGGGCUCAACCCAGAGGCCGCAUUUGAUACUGGAGUACUUGAGGCAAGUAGAGGUAAGCGGAAUUUGUAGUGUAGCAGUGAAAUGCGUAGAUAUUACAAGGAACACCAAUGGCGAAGGCAGCUUACUGGACUUGUUCUGACACUGAGGGACGAAAGCGUGGGGAGCGAAAGGG
RNAcentral lists this ribosomal RNA (253 nucleotides) under uncultured bacterium. RNAcentral describes it as "partial 16S ribosomal RNA". It matches the Rfam family "Bacterial small subunit ribosomal RNA", at positions 524 to 776 of the family's 1533-position model. The record is from RNAcentral.